RNAcentral lists this ribosomal RNA (425 nucleotides) under uncultured bacterium. RNAcentral describes it as "partial 16S ribosomal RNA". It matches the Rfam family "Bacterial small subunit ribosomal RNA", at positions 354 to 796 of the family's 1533-position model. The record is from RNAcentral.
GUGGGGAAUAUUGCGCAAUGGGGGAAACCCUGACGCAGCAACGCCGCGUGGAGGAAGAAGGUCUUCGGAUUGUAAACUCCUGUCUUCUGGGACGAUAAUGACGGUACCAGAGGAGGAAGCCACGGCUAACUACGUGCCAGCAGCCGCGGUAAUACGUAGGUGGCGAGCGUUGUCCGGAAUUACUGGGCGUAAAGGGCGCGUAGGCGGCCUGGUAAGUCUGGAGUGAAAGUCCUGCUUUUAAGGUGGGAAUUGCUUUGGAUACUGUCGGGCUUGAGUGCAGGAGAGGUAAGUGGAAUUCCCGGUGUAGCGGUGAAAUGCGUAGAGAUCGGGAGGAACACCAGUGGCGAAGGCGACUUACUGGACUGUAACUGACGCUGAGGCGCGAAAGUGUGGGGAGCAAACAGGAUUAGAUACCCCAGUAGUCC